This is a long non-coding RNA of Cygnus olor (mute swan), 444 nucleotides long. RefSeq lists it as uncharacterized. The transcript has 2 exons. The record is from RefSeq and is a predicted model, not a curated record. Lineage: Eukaryota; Metazoa; Chordata; Aves; Anseriformes; Anatidae.
UCUCUACACGAAAGCAGUCCACAGCCUGCAGAAGCCAGGGGUUUACAAGCCACAGGAGAUGGUUUGCAUGGGUCUCACUGUCUCCAGCCAAGAGAAGUCCAGGCUGCUCUUCUGGUCGAACAUGCGGAACUCCAUCUCCCCUGGACAGAGCAACAGCAGAGUGAGAACUGAACCCCGGCAGCAGGAGCACGGGAGCCCCUGCGUACCAACACACCCAGAAAUGAAACGUUCCUCGGAGUUUCUUUCCUGAAAACCCUCGCCUGCACCUUCCACCCCGGACCGUAAGCGAUAACCAAGGUUUUGUACCCGAAGAGGUGUCGAUCUCGCCGUCCUGGUCCUUGUAGCUGUAUGUGCUGCACAUGGUCUGCGUGCCCGGCUCGUUGGUGAGGAAGCCUUUCCCCCCGACGCUGGUCGUGUGCCAGUCCUGUCCUGGUUCGAGCAGCU